AAAAAGGCAAACCGUGUGUUCCCGUGCCAACGUUUGACUGUCCGUCUUAUAUGAAAUUUUUUUAUAAUUAGUAUUUUCAUUGUUAUUAGAUGAUAAAACAUGAUUAAUGCUUUAUACAUGACUUAUCUUUUUAAUUUUUUUCAUAAUUUUAUCAAAUAAGACGGACGGUCAAACGUUGGAUACGGAAAUCAGGGUUUAUCUUUUA
Non-coding RNA from Oryza glumipatula, 205 nucleotides. The record is from Rfam. NCBI's taxonomy places the organism in Eukaryota, Viridiplantae, Streptophyta, Magnoliopsida, Poales, Poaceae.